GCCACUAUCGCAUAACUCGGUAUUGCGCCGGUCUCGAACACCGGUUUCCGCAAGGAUAUGCCGGUUCAAAUCCGGCUGGUGGCG
RNAcentral lists this transfer RNA (84 nucleotides) under Candidatus Woesearchaeota archaeon. Its description in RNAcentral is "tRNA-Ser". It matches the Rfam family "tRNA". From Rfam's summary of the family: Transfer RNA (tRNA) molecules are approximately 80 nucleotides in length. Lineage: Archaea; Nanobdellati; Candidatus Woesearchaeota. RNAcentral also lists the same sequence under 1 other name. The record is from RNAcentral.